Molecule: non-coding RNA, 72 nt
Organism: Phrynosoma platyrhinos (Desert horned lizard)
Lineage: Eukaryota; Metazoa; Chordata; Lepidosauria; Squamata; Phrynosomatidae
Source: the annotation of a GenBank genome assembly
GACAGUGUGGCUUAAUAGUUUUGAGUGUUGACUGUGACUCUGGAGACAAGGGUUCAAAUCCCCUCUCAGCUG